UAGGGCAAUAGCUCCAACGGUAGAGCGCCGGAUUCCAAAUCCGAUGGUUGGGGGUUCGAAUCCCUCUUGCCCUGCCAU
This 78-nucleotide transfer RNA is filed under the name Campylobacter hominis ATCC BAA-381. RNAcentral describes it as "tRNA-Trp". It matches the Rfam family "tRNA". Rfam says of the family: Transfer RNA (tRNA) molecules are approximately 80 nucleotides in length. The record is from RNAcentral. Lineage: Bacteria; Pseudomonadati; Campylobacterota; Epsilonproteobacteria; Campylobacterales; Campylobacteraceae.